GACGAACGCUGGAGGCGUGCUUAACACAUGCAAGUCGAACGAUGAAAUGGAGCUUGCUCCAUGGAUUAGUGGCGAACGGGUGAGUAACACGUGAAUAACCUGCCCUUAAUUUUGGAAUAACCCAGGGAAACCUGGGCUAAUACCGGAUAAGUAAACCUGUGGCAUCACAUGGUUUUGGAAAGUUUUUCGAUUAAGGAUGGAUUCGCGGCCUAUCAGCUUGUUGGUGAGGUAAUGGGUCACCAAGGCGACGACGGGUAGCCGGCCUGAGAGGGGGAACGGCCACACUGGGACUGAGACACGGCCCAGACUCCUACGGGAGGCAGCAGUGGGGAAUAUUGCGCAAUGGACGAAAGUCUGACGCAGCGACGCCUCGUGAGGGACGAAGGUCUUCGGAUUGUAAACCUCUUUCAGCAGGGACGAAGCGAAAGUGACGGUACCUGCAGAAGAAGCACCGGCUAACUAUGUGCCAGCAGCCGCCGUAA
This 482-nucleotide ribosomal RNA is filed under the name uncultured bacterium. Its description in RNAcentral is "partial 16S ribosomal RNA". It matches the Rfam family "Bacterial small subunit ribosomal RNA", at positions 28 to 523 of the family's 1533-position model. The record is from RNAcentral.